Molecule: ribosomal RNA, 999 nt
Filed under: uncultured bacterium
Lineage: Bacteria
Description: bacterial SSU rRNA
Rfam family: Bacterial small subunit ribosomal RNA
Source: RNAcentral
GUGCCAGCCAGCCGGGUAAUACGUAGGUGGCAAGCGUUGUCCGGAUNUUAUUGAGGCGUAAAGCGAGCGCAGGCGGUUUCUUAAGUCUGAUGUGAAAGCCCCCGGCUCAACCGGGGAGGGUCAUUGGAAACUGGGAGACUUGAGUGCAGAAGAGGAGAGUGGAAUUCCAUGUGUAGCGGUGAAAUGCGUAGAUAUAUGGAGGAACACCAGUGGCGAAGGCGGCUCUCUGGUCUGUAACUGACGCUGAGGCUCGAAAGCGUGGGGAGCAAACAGGAUUAGAUACCCUGGUAGUCCACGCCGUAAACGAUGAGUGCUAAGUGUUGGAGGGUUUCCGCCCUUCAGUGCUGCAGCUAACGCAUUAAGCACUCCGCCUGGGGAGUACGACCGCAAGGUUGAAACUCAAAGGAAUUGACGGGGGCCCGCACAAGCGGUGGAGCAUGUGGUUUAAUUCGAAGCAACGCGAAGAACCUUACCAGGUCUUGACAUCCUUUGACCACUCUAGAGAUAGAGCUUCUCCUUCGGGGGCAAAGUGACAGGUGGUGCAUGGUUGUCGUCAGCUCGUGUCGUGAGAUGUUGGGUUAAGUCCCGCAACGAGCGCAACCCUUAUUGUUAGUUGCCAUCAUUCAGUUGGGCACUCUAGCAAGACUGCCGGUGACAAACCGGAGGAAGGUGGGGAUGACGUCAAAUCAUCAUGCCCCUUAUGACCUGGGCUACACACGUGCUACAAUGGGAAGUACAACGAGUUGCGAAGUCGCGAGGCUAAGCUAAUCUCUUAUAGCUUCUCUCAGUUCGGAUUGCAGGCUGCAACUCGCCUGCAUGAAGCCGGAAUCGCUAGUAAUCGCGGAUCAGCACGCCGCGGUGGAUACGUUCCCGGGUCUUGUACACACCGCCCGUCACACCAUGGGAGUGGGUUUCACCAGAAGUAGGUAGCCUAACCGUAAGGAGGGCGCUUACCACGGUGGGAUUCAUGACUGGGGUGAAGUCGUAACAAGGUAACCG